AAAGACCCUAUGAAGCUUUACUGUAACUUGAGAUUGAAAUUGGACUUUAUUUGCGCAGUAUAGGUGGGAGGCGUUGAGAGUAUUCUUGCGGGAAUAUUGGAGCCAUCAGUGAGAUACCACUCUUGUAAUGUUAGAUUUCUAACUUUGUAUCAUUAUCUGGUCAAAGGACAGUUUCAGGCGGGCAGUUUGACUGGGGCGGUCGCCUCCUAAACGGUAACGGAGGCGUACAAAGGUUUCCUCUGAACGGGUAGAAAUCGUAUCUAGAGUGUAAAGGCAUAAGGAAGCUUGACUGUGAGACCUACAAGUCGAGCAGGGACGAAAGUCGGUCUUAGUGAUCUGACGGUGCUGAGUGGAAAGGCCGUCACUCAACGGAUAAAAGUUACUCUAGGGAUAACAGGCUGA
RNAcentral lists this ribosomal RNA (402 nucleotides) under Pinnularia brebissonii. RNAcentral's name for it is "partial large subunit ribosomal RNA". It matches the Rfam family "Bacterial large subunit ribosomal RNA", at positions 2084 to 2485 of the family's 2925-position model. Lineage: Eukaryota; Bacillariophyta; Bacillariophyceae; Sellaphorales; Pinnulariaceae. The record is from RNAcentral.